This is a long non-coding RNA of Sapajus apella (tufted capuchin), 4416 nucleotides long. RefSeq lists it as uncharacterized. The record is from RefSeq and is a predicted model, not a curated record. The transcript is spliced from 2 exons. Lineage: Eukaryota; Metazoa; Chordata; Mammalia; Primates; Cebidae.
GCGCGAGGGGGUCCCCUCCCCCUUCCCCCAGCUAGAGGGGGAAGAGGGCGAGCGAGCGCCAGGCGGCCGAGAGGUGGUAGCCGCUGCAUUGGCAUCGUCGGCGCCUCCACCCGGGUGGGAGCGGGAGUAGAAGGAAGGCGCCUUUGUGUGGCUGCAGUUGUGGCGGUUGUUGUCGUCUGCAGCUCCUGGCUGGGGGAAGGGAGUUGUGGUCAAGGCGGAAAAUCCCCCCUCCCCUUUCCUUCCCCGAACUCGGGACUGCGCGGUCCCCGCCGCUGAGGAAAUGUAGACUGUGCGGAUUGGAGAGAGUAGGAGGAGAAUGGAGGCCAGGUCCUCUUCUUCCUCCUCCUCUUAUUGUGCACAGGGGAUUACCGCGCUCCCGCCUCUGCGCCUCUGCUUCCCACUCCGACGGGCCUCCGCCCCCACUGGUUUGAUUCCUUUGCCUUCCCUGCUUUCAUGCGUCCCGCCCCCAUCCCCGGCCCUGUCCUGGCUGUCUCCGGGCCUUUGUUGUUCGAGUUUCGCCUUAGGACUGAAGGGGCCUUUGUUGAUGUUCCGAGGAGGAAUCCCCGUCGACCCCUUCUAGUUGAGCGAGACGUUCGAGAGGGGGUGGUUGGCGGUGGUUGUCCCCUCAUGCCCGUAAUUGCUUGCUUGGUGCACCAGUUCCGUGGCAAAGCUCGAUCUCCUUAGUGUAGAGGAGUUGUCCCUGUACAUCUAUCUCAGAUUGCAGGUCCCUUUGGGGCGGGUUUUCCAGAGUCCUUUUCUCAUUUGCUUUCACCCUUCGAGGAGUAUGAUUUCCACUAUCCUUUCUCUCCCUAUUACCGCCUCACCCCUGUUUCUUGGGGUAGUCCCUAUUUGGCUUCCUGAUGAAGUGGGAGAAGACUGAGGUUCCUGUGAAUCUGUGCGUUGGGUAGUUUCAGAUCUUUUCUUUGCUUGCCCAAGGACACUGCUUACCAGUGACUGCAUUCUAACCAGAAUUUGGAAUGUUCUACUAACACUACUAAUAAUGAAAAUCGUUUCAUCCAUGACGAGAAUCGGAGAGUUUGGGUCUACAUUUGGACUUCAUUACGAGCCCUACAGUUGGGUUUGAAAUUUCAAGGUGGUGGCGUUGGCUGUGGUGAAGAUUUUGGUUGGAUUGUCUUGAGGAGGAAAAAGACAAUUUAUGCAGGUCAUAUUUAGAGUUAACUUGUGAGUGUAUCAUUACAGAGAAUUCGUUUGGAAAAAUAUUGACCUUAAUGUAGAACAAUGGUUGACCGUUUUAGCAGAGCAGAUUACAUUUUCACUUAUUAUUUAGCCUCCAAAUUGAAGUCUUGUCUUUAUAAUGUCGGGGAUACGUGAUCACAUACAAAACCUCUCUUGCUGUAUGCACUUUAUUGUCACAAAUUAUUUGAUGGCUGUUCAUAAUCUUAAAAACAAAAACUGUGAGAUCAAGUGGUGACUUGUCUAGGACGAUGUGCAAUGUGAAAGCUCCCCACUUACGUCUGGUGAAUACCUGUGGCAAAUUAGAGUCUUAUUCCUUUGAAUUCCAAUAUUAAAAAAAAAAUUGUUGGAAUUUCUCAGUUUCUCUGCUUUGCAUUGCCCACUCAUUCUUAAUUGGCCUUUAAAGUUUUAUUUUAGAGAUUAAAAAAAUUCUGUAAGAUACCCAUAAUACGAAGUCUUUCAAUUGUAAGUGGAGUAAGUAUAUAAUACUCAGUGAAAAGUAUUAAAGUCUAGCUUUGCUGAAAGACAUUUUCCCCCUAAUAGUGCCCACUGAUAGUUUUAAAGCUAAUUACUUAAAUUCUCUUUGUCAGCAGCAUUUAUAAGCAAGGAUUAAUAAUUCUGGGAAAGUAAAAUCUCAUGCAAGCUAGGCUCCGCCCCCCGCCCCCGCCGCCUUUUUGUACAUGUGUGACGUUGUAAAGUUAUCACUUAAAGUUAUUUAAUUUAUUUGUUUAUUUUGAGAGACAGAGUCUUGCUCUGUCACCCAGGCUGGAGUGCAGUGGUGUAAUCACGGCUCACUGCAACCUAGUCUCUUGGGAUCAAGAGAUUCUCCUGCCUCAGCUUCCCAAGUAGCUGGGACAACAGGCAUGAGCCACCACGCCUAGAUAAUUUUUGUAUUUUUAGUAGAAAUGGGGUUUGAGGUUUCCCUGUGUGUUGGCCGGGCUCGUCUGGAAUUCCUGACCUCAAGUGAUCCAUCCACGUCUGCCUUCCGAAGUGCUGGGAUUACAGGUGUGAGCCACCACAGCUGGCCACUUUUACAUUUCUUAAAGUGAAUGCUGGAAACUCAACAUUAUAUCCCCAGAACCCAAUUUGAGAGCUACUGAUGCAUAGGAAAGAAUCAUUUAAGCAUGAACCCCAGUGCUCUCCCUCUUCCAUUGGUUUACUUUUUUCAGCUUUACUUUCUGUUAUUCUACAGGAACUUUCUGCUCCAUCUAAAUUGAUUGAUUACUGACAAGCAUACCUGUUCAUUUUACUGCCUUUGUGACUGCUUUGAUAACUAAAUGGCUUUGAGUUCGACUAUGAGCUCCCCCACAGUUUGAGAGAAUUGUUUAGCUCUGUAAGUCAUGCUUUCUUUGAGAAAAUAAGGCUGAGGUAACGGAUGAUAAAUACCUAUCCACAGAGGGCAGUAGGAGACACUGGGUAGACAUCAUAAACCAGUAGUUUUUGAGUCAUUCUCCUCAAAUCUACUUGUACCUUACAGCCCAGAAUGAUCACUCAUUUUCUAAGUAUACCCUUCUGUGGUCUGCACUUGCUUUGAGAUUUACUUCUGACUUCUGUCAUUGACUGUGUUAUGUUUCUUAUGUAGCAUGGAUUUUUCAGUGUGAUUUAUUUUCAGUGUUUGAAAAUUUUUUUCAAGCUUCAUCAAUUUUUGGUUAGGAAAAUAUACAUGAGUCAUAAAUAUGUAUGCACCGGUUGUCUUGUUUCGAUAUUGCAUGCUCUAUGUCCUUAGUAGAUUUUGGAUUCCUUCAUUGUACUUAACAAUGCUUUGAUUUAGUAAGUUCUCUGUAUUUGUUUGAGAUUCUUUUCUAGAGCUUUAUUAGUCCUCAAAUAUUAACACUUUAGAGUUUUGAUUUGCCCAAGGCCCCAGAGUUAAGAUAUGGUUAGAAUCCACGUUCAAAUUAAAUACAUUUUGCUGCCUGUGUCUCCUGUGUUCUAUUGUUAAACAGUUACUUGACUCUUUUCCUAAAAUAGGGUUUACUGUUUUAUUGUAGUAGUGUUAAAAAAAAAAAAAAGUAUCUUAAAGUAAAAGUACUACUAUUUUUUUCUGUAAACUAGGAAGUGAACUGAGGAAGCAGGAAAAAUCAUUUGUUAUUUAUUCCAUUAGCAGUUACUUGGUGCUUAAUUUGUGGCAGACACUGCACUAUCGGUAUAGGAAAAAUUAGCUCUCACUUCAGCAAAAAAUUUGCAAAAGUUAAACUUCUGAAGGCAAUUCUGAAAUCUUUUUUCCCUCAGUGCAUUUUGUUUUCAGUUAAAGUAAAACUGACUCUUAAAUCUUCUGUUUUAGGCUGAGCAAAGUGGCUCAUGCCUGUAAUCCUAGCACUUUGGGAGGCCAAGACAGAUGGAUCACCUGAGGUCAGGAGUUUGAGACCAGCCUGACCAACAUGGUGGAACCCAGUCUCUACUAAAAAUACAAAAAUUAUUUGGGCUUGGUAGCGCAUGCCUGUAAUCCCAGCUAUUUGGGAUGCUGAGGCAGGAGAAUAACUUGAACCCGAGAGGCAGAGAUAGCAAUAAGCCAAGAUCACGCCAUUGCACUCCCGCUUGAGCAACGAGUGAAGUGAAACUCUGUCUCAAAAAAAAAAAAAAAACCACCUUCUGUUUUAAUGACAUCCUUGCCAUUUGUACAUUUAGUUUUCCUGUAAUACUUAUGAGAUUAGGAGAUUGAGAAGAGCUAUGUUUGUUAGAUAUAUUUUGCUGCUCUUGAUGUGAUUGAGAGAAUAAUUUGAACUAAGAUUGUAUAGGAAUUCUCGGCCGAUUCAGAAAAUGCCACCUAACUGGCAUUCAGAAUUAAAGCAAGUGAUUAUCCAGAGUGUAGUCCUUUACUUACUUACAAUCUUUACCCGUAAAGGUGGCACCAAAAGGACUCUUAGUGAAGCUUCUACAUUGUCUUUGGCCGCAGGCACCCACCCUCACUCAGACUGUCAUUGUCCACAAUCAGUAAUGCUGUUUUACUUGCAAGUUAGGAAAUUCAGUUACCAGCUUUCCACAAUCUGCAAAUGAGCCAAACCUUGGAAUUAGAAGUAAGACCAACCAGAUUGAAGAGAAAGGGAGUCAGUAUUCAGAGCAGGCAAUGUUAGAUGCUUUACUAAUGAUACACUGUUUAAUCUGAAGAUCUAUGAAAUCAUAGGGUUCAAGAACCAUUUAGUUUAAGUGUCCAAGUUAAUUCAAAUUGCCUUCCAGGACCUCAUCAUUACUAUAUAAUACGUGUUCAGUAUGACCCAGUAUCAU